RNAcentral lists this long non-coding RNA (2184 nucleotides) under Triticum aestivum (bread wheat). RNAcentral describes it as "long non-coding RNA (TAES_LNC010932)". Lineage: Eukaryota; Viridiplantae; Streptophyta; Magnoliopsida; Poales; Poaceae. The record is from RNAcentral.
GCCAGGAGCUGCUUCCAUGCUCAAGAACACAGUGGAUGCAUGCUCACAGAGAGAGCAAUUUUCUAUCAAUCCUGAUCUAUUCUCAUGUGAUCUAGGGGGCACCAUCGACAAUGUAGUAGAUGGGCAGGAGAAAGGAUGUAGCCGGGAAGAUAUCUUGGUGGUAAUCUGUUGUUACACAGGAGAAAAAAAGUUUGUUUUGCUGAUUAUAUGGAACAAAUUAGAGAGGUACACUGUGUUUUAUUACUGAAUCCAACUUCCAUGAUAUGUUUCUCCUUUGUGCAUGCUCAUGAAUCCUGGUUCCUCUUUUUUUUUUGAUUGUGCAUUCUCAGUUGCUAAUUUUUGCUAUGUCCAUCCCAAUGAGAGGCUUUCCUUCCUUUAUUUUCUCUGCCAGAUUUGAACGGUGUUUUCUCUCAAAGUCAGAAUUGAACAUCUCUCAAUGAGAGGCUUUCUUUGCCAUAGUCACUCAAUUCAUUCCCUUCCUUAUUCCUUGCACACUUUAGCUCUCACACCCUUGGCUACGACUCCUUGAUACGGAGAAAACAUAAAAGCAUAUUUAAAUUGGGAGGAUUUAAUGGAAGAGGGCGAGGCGGGACUAUUCUGCACAAGAGGAAGAGGGAAGAUAGCUCUGCAGCGGCGCCAUGGCUCCUUGCCGCGAACUCGGCAGCGUCCAUGUGCAGGGGCAGGCGGAGGCCGGUGCCGGCAAGCAGGCAGUGGAGCGCGUUGACGGAGCCGUGGUGGAGGUCAUGGGCGCCGAUCUGCUCCACCCACCUCGAGCCGACGCGAGGAAGAGGGAAGAUAGCUCAUUAACUCUGCAGCGGCGCCAUGGCUGCCUGAUGGCGAGCGCCUCAUCACGGCUGCUGGCCACGAGCGCCUCACCGCGGCUUCUGGCCGACGAGCACAGGGGAGCUCGGCUGCUGGGAAUGGAGCUCCGCAGCAGCGACUCGGUGGAGGCAGGCAAUGGAUAAGUGGCGGAGGUGGCCGGUGGUUCCAGGUUUUUUUUGCAAAAAAACGAAACGUUAUCUUGUCAGGAACACACUUAAAAUAGGACUGCGGGUUUAUUUCUCAGAAAGGGAGGGUCUUUUCUGCAAAAUGUCAUCGACGGACGACCAGAAACAAUCUCUGGUUUAUUAUUAGGGAAAGAUACAUGCUAAAAGAACUACUUGAUUCAAAGUGGCUGCUACAUACUACUCCCUCUCUUCCAUAAUAUAAGAACGUAUUUAUUACAUAUGCUUUUUUUAAUCUUUGAACUCUGCUAUACAUAUGACACCAUACCUUAGGUAUGAUUCUCAUCCGACUUUGGCAAUCAAACCGUGCGUAGGUGGGAUCAAGGAAAGUGCUCUAAACAAGGUACUUUGUGCUGAUCGAUGAAAACACAAUGUAUAGAAUGAUCCAACUAAUUUGCACAUGCUGCUUGCGCUCAUCGCCAAUCUCGAGGCCUUAAGCAUGUUGAUGUGCACUCCUCUUGUACAUGCCCCAUGACAAGAAUCAUAUGGAACGAAAUAGCUCAAUUCUGUAGACUGUCUUCUCUGGAUCGCAUGUGAAAUAUUGAUUGAUAUUGAUUGCAGUAUGUUCCUCGUGACCAUUUGGAGGAUUUGGCAUGUCUACAAUGAGAUUGUUCCUGACAAGCAGCCCAGUUGAUGCUUCUCGCCAUCUCCUCUGUAGUUACCUGCAAUCUCUUUUGGGUCUUACACAUCAGCCAGGUCAUGAUCAUGCCAAAGAAAAAGUAGUUGUAUCUUAUGAUUCUAUGGUCCAAUCUUUGCAUGCUCUGAAGCCAUCGGUGCUAGCAACGUCGUGGAAAUGGUACCUUCCUCCCAUGGGAUGGGUGAAGUUGAAUACCGAUGGAUCCUUUGCUUCCACAAAUCAAGCGGGUGCAGGCAUUGUUCUUAGAGAUGAUUUAUGGGCCAUUAUAUUUUCUUCAUGUCGCCAACUUUUCUCCUGCAGAGAGGCUUCGGAAGCCGAGUUAAUUAUGUGCGUGCAUGGAAGAUGUCUCUCUUGCUUUGGAAUGGUGUGAAGUGCUAUGCGCUGGAAGGGAUGAAUAUGAUCCAGAAUAGCGACAAUGACGAGUCUAUCUACUCUUCUUUAGUGCUUGAGGUAAGACACUAAUGUCUUAUCAUCAGACUUGUAAUACUCAUGUAAACCAUAGUCAGAAACAUUUACUCACUCAUUAGCAAAUUAUGCUAAUGC